UGCAGUCGAACGCUUCUUUUUCACCGGAGCUUGCUCCACCGGAAAAAGAGGAGUGGCGAACGGGUGAGUAACACGUGGGUAACCUGCCCAUCAGAAGGGGAUAACACUUGGAAACAGGUGCUAAUACCGUAUAACAAUCAAAACCGCAUGGUUUUGAUUUGAAAGGCGCUUUCGGGUGUCGCUGAUGGAUGGACCCGCGGUGCAUUAGCUAGUUGGUGAGGUAACGGCUCACCAAGGCCACGAUGCAUAGCCGACCUGAGAGGGUGAUCGGCCACAUUGGGACUGAGACACGGCCCAAACUCCUACGGGAGGCAGCAGUAGGGAAUCUUCGGCAAUGGACGAAAGUCUGACCGAGCAACGCCGCGUGAGUGAAGAAGGUUUUCGGAUCGUAAAACUCUGUUGUUAGAGAAGAACAAGGAUGAGAGUAACUGUUCAUCCCUUGACGGUAUCUAACCAGAAAGCCACGGCUAACUACGUGCCAGCAGCCGCGGUAAUACGUAGGUGGCAAGCGUUGUCCGGAUUUAUUGGGCGUAAAGCGAGCGCAGGCGGUUUCUUAAGUCUGAUGUGAAAGCCCCCGGCUCAACCGGGGAGGGUCAUUGGAAACUGGGAGACUUGAGUGCAGAAGAGGAGAGUGGAAUUCCAUGUGUAGCGGUGAAAUGCGUAGAUAUAUGGAGGAACACCAGUGGCGAAGGCGGCUCUCUGGUCUGUAACUGACGCUGAGGCUCGAAAGCGUGGGGAGCAAACAGGAUUAGAUACCCUGGUAGUCCACGCCGUAAACGAUGAGUGCUAAGUGUUGGAGGGUUUCCGCCCUUCAGUGCUGCAGCUAACGCAUUAAGCACUCCGCCUGGGGAGUACGACCGCAAGGUUGAAACUCAAAGGAAUUGACGGGGGCCCGCACAAGCGGUGGAGCAUGUGGUUUAAUUCGAAGCAACGCGAAGAACCUUACCAGGUCUUGACAUCCUUUGACCACUCUAGAGAUAGAGCUUCCCCUUCGGGGGCAAA
This 1002-nucleotide ribosomal RNA is filed under the name Enterococcus sp. GM-30. Its description in RNAcentral is "bacterial SSU rRNA". It matches the Rfam family "Bacterial small subunit ribosomal RNA", at positions 56 to 1030 of the family's 1533-position model. Lineage: Bacteria; Bacillati; Bacillota; Bacilli; Lactobacillales; Enterococcaceae. The record is from RNAcentral.